RNAcentral lists this ribosomal RNA (406 nucleotides) under uncultured bacterium. RNAcentral's name for it is "partial 16S ribosomal RNA". It matches the Rfam family "Bacterial small subunit ribosomal RNA", at positions 29 to 526 of the family's 1533-position model. The record is from RNAcentral.
AUUGAACGCUGGCGGCAGGCCUAACACAUGCAAGUCGAGCGAGCGGCGGACGGGUGAGUAAUGUCUGGGAAAAUGCCCGAUGGAGGGGGAUAAAUACAGGAAACGGUAGAUAAUACCGCAUACCAUCAGAGGUGCCCAGAUGGGAUGAGCGAGUAGGUGGGGUGACGGCUCACCUAGGCGACGAGCCCUAGCUGGUCUGAGAGGAUGACCAGCCAAACUGGAACUGAGACACCGGCCAGACUCCCACGGGAGGCAGCAGUGGGGAAUACUGGACCAUGGGGGGAACCCUGAACCAGCCAUUCCGCGUGUGUGAAGAAGGCCUUCUGGUUGUAAAGCACUUUAAGCCGGGAAGCGUUACUCGCAUAAUAAGCACCGGCUAACUCUGUGCCAGCAGCCGCGGUAAUAC